AUGGCUUUUUGCUGUUACUGUUGUGCUUUUCAGACGUGGCUCCUUGUUAUUGUUUGCUUGUUUGCUUGUUUGUUUCUAUCAGUACUUAAGCAGGAGAUGGACUUCUUGUGCAGGCACACACCAGCAGGAUGGCCUGUCCUGGGGAUGACCUUCCCCCAUUUGCAGGUGGGCGUACCGGCAGUCAGGCUGAGCGUGAAAAAGGGCACACAGGACCAACGGAGGGGUCCUUUACAAGGUAAAGGAUUUUUUUUCAGUUCUCCAGAUUGUAACACCUCAGAGAGAUCUGUCACACACCCUGAGCACUGCAGUCCCGGUGCCGCUGUAGAAUGCCUCCGCGGCGCAGCGCUGUGUACCGUCACAACACCGUUUUCCAGGGCACCCUGCGCGCACGGCCGGGAUGUCACACCUGGCCUGGAGGUUCCCACCGGACGAAGGGCGGCGCUGCGGGCUCACACUGGGCCGGCUGCCGGCGGGCCGCGGGCUCCUCCCGGCGGCGGCCGCUCCGCAGGGUACGGGCCUCGCCCCGCCGUGCCCGGAGGGGAGCAGGCAGACCCGGACACCACUAUACCGGGCGUUCUGUUGGUGGUCAUGAAUUGCGCUUGUCGACGAGGGGGUAUUUGUUUCGAGAGCGCUCAGGAAGUAAGCAGUACGGAUGAAAUGCAGAGCCCCUAGGAAUUACCAUUGUAUCUGGAAAGACAGAUGUCUGCCAUCACUGCAAGAUAAUGGGUUCAAUUUCCUUUUGGCCAAGAAAGAGAACCUAGAUGAAGAUGUAAUGCAGCUGGACAAUUAGCCACUACAAAUAGUUUGCUGAGGCUCUGGGCAAUACGGAGACCUCUGUAAACAUCAGAAUUACAGACAAUGUGCAUUCAGUCUGUGUAGUUUGCUUAAUUCUCAACGCUGUGUUAAACGAUUUACCCAAGCUGCUUUUUAAUAAACAUACCUGACCCAAGUAUAUUCUCCA
Molecule: long non-coding RNA, 961 nt
Filed under: Numida meleagris (helmeted guineafowl)
Lineage: Eukaryota; Metazoa; Chordata; Aves; Galliformes; Numididae
Description: lncRNA (ENSNMEG00000002477.1)
Source: RNAcentral